Molecule: ribosomal RNA, 1935 nt
Filed under: Candidatus Zambryskibacteria bacterium RIFCSPHIGHO2_02_FULL_39_19
Lineage: Bacteria; Candidatus Zambryskiibacteriota
Description: bacterial SSU rRNA
Rfam family: Bacterial small subunit ribosomal RNA
Source: RNAcentral
GAAUCUUCCGCAAUGGGCGAAAGCCUGACGGAGCGACGCCGCGUGGUUGAUGAAGUCCUUCGGGACGUAAAAACCUUUUAUGACUAAGAAAGUUUAUUGAUCUGGUCAUGAAUAAGGGGCUCCAAACUCUGUGCCAGCAGGAGCGGUAAUACAGAGGCCCCAAGCGUUGUCCGGAAUCACUGGGCGUAAAGGGUGUGUAGGUGGUUUUAUUAGUCUCUCGUUAAAGCUCCCGACCCAAUCGGGAAAAUGCGAGGGAAACGGUAAGACUAAGAGGGUGUGAGAGGUAAAUGGAACUCAUGGAGUAGGGGUGAAAUCCGUUGAUAUCAUGGGGAACACCAAAAGCGAAGGCAAUUUACUGGCGCAUUCCUGACACUGAAACACGAAAGCGUAGGUAGCGAAUGGGAUUAGAUGAACGUCACGUAAAACCACUAGGUGGCCACGUGACAGCGUCUCUUUCCGCAGUAAUGCGGAAUUGAAAACCCCGAAAAAACGCAUAGCGUUCAACGGGAUGAAUUUGGCUGUAUGCUGGAAUAUCCGGCGUAUGCGACACUACUACAAAAGGAGAAUUAAGAUGCCAAUGUAUGAGUUGAUUUGUGAUCAUCCUCAAUCUAGAGGAAGAUCAGAACAAACCCAUCAAUUCAAAGCUAAGAAUGACAAUAGAGCACUAACACAUGUAAAAAAACAUGUGACUGACUCAAAAACUCAUCCUUAUAGUGAUACAGAUCUAAGUUUUAGAUACUGUCGACCAAAAAAAUUAUUUGAGGUCGUUCGGCGAGAAAUAAAAAUGUAGUAAAAAUGUGUCCGCUGCGGACAACCAGCAGGGAAGAAUUUUAGGAGGUUAAAGUGAAGCGAUACAAAAUUCAAAUGCUUUGUACAAAUAAUGGAGGACGAUUCUUUGCAGAACAUCCGGUCUUUGCAGAGGGAGAUGACGACUUUAAAAAUCGAGCAUUUCCCGAAUGGAAAGAAGACAUGGACAGAACAUGUGUGAUGUUUUCAGACGUCAGACUGCUUUACACGGUCACUCGAGUCAUUAGGGUAGACCAAGAAGAACAAACCACAGAUAUAGUGGUGCCUCAGUAGUAAAUUCCCCUCAGAGACUAUACGCCGAACCCCCGUGAGAAAUUGUCUUACGGGGUGAAGAUAUAGUCCGGACUGCAUAGCGAUAUGCAGAACACAACAGAAAUGAUUGUGUCUCGUCGCGUCUGACGCGACGAAGUAACAUUGUCGACCCCAGUAGUCUACGCCCUAAACGAUGAUCGCUGGCUUUUCGGAGUAUCGACCCUCUGAGAGGCGAAGCUAACGCGUUAAGCGAUCCGCCUGGGUAGUACGAUCGCAAGAUUAAAACUCAAAGGAAUAGACGGGGACUUGCACAAGCGGUGGAUUAUGCGGUUCAAUUCGAUGACAAACGAAAAACCUUACCAAGGCUAGAAAUCUAGAUGAAUGCUGGAGAAACUCAGCAGUCUCACAAGGACAUCUAGACAGGUGAUGCAUGGCCGUCGUCAGUUCGUGAUUUGAAUUGUUCCCUUAAGUGGGGUAACGAACGCAACCCUCGUUGUCUGUUACAAGUGUCAGACGAGACCACCCAGCACUAAGGUCAGAAAUUGAAUCAAAAAUUGUUUAUAAAAAUGCCUUGCGAGCGCGACUGGCGUGAGCACGAGGAAAAAUUCAGCAGAAUUUUAUCCGUGCAUUUUUAGAAAUAAUUUUUGAAUGAGAUUUCCUACUUGAGUGCUGGGNNNNNNNNNNNNNNNNNNNNNNNNNGUUGGAAUCGCUAGUAAUCGCGGGUCAGCUAUACCGCGGUGAAUACGUUCUCAAGUCUUGUACUCACCGCCCGUCAAGUCAAGGAAGUUGGGAGUACCCAAAGGCUCAUGUAAGUGGGACUAAGGUAAACUCAAUGACAAGGACUAAGUCGUAACAAGGCACGGCUAGCGGAAGCUG